UGCGUAACAGCUCACUGGUCGAGGAGUCCGGCGCCGAUAAUGAUCGGGAAUAAGCAGAGAGCCGAAACCGCGGACUUCGUAAGAAGUGGUAGGAGAGCGUUCCUGUCGGCGUUGAAGCGUGCCCGAAAGGGCCCGUGGAGCGUCAGGAAGUGAAUAUGUGGGCUUGAGUAACGAUAAUGCGGGUGAGAAUCCCGCACGCCGUAAGCCUAAGGAUUCCUGGGGAAGGUACAUCCGCCCAGGGUUAGGCGGGACCUAAGGCGAGGCCGAAA
Molecule: ribosomal RNA, 269 nt
Filed under: Symbiodinium sp. clade A
Lineage: Eukaryota; Dinophyceae; Suessiales; Symbiodiniaceae
Description: partial Bacterial large subunit ribosomal RNA
Rfam family: Bacterial large subunit ribosomal RNA
Source: RNAcentral